AUUGAACGCUGGCGGCAUGCUUUACACAUGCAAGUCGAACGGCAGCGCGGGCUUCGGCCUGGCGGCGAGUGGCGAACGGGUGAGUAAUGCAUCGGAACGUGCCCAGUAGUGGGGGAUAGCCCGGCGAAAGCCGGAUUAAUACCGCAUACGACCUGAGGGUGAAAGCGGGGGACCGAAAGGCCUCGCGCUAUUGGAGCGGCCGAUGUCGGAUUAGCUAGUUGGUGGGGUAAAGGCUUACCAAGGCGACGAUCCGUAGCUGGUCUGAGAGGACGACCAGCCACACUGGGACUGAGACACGGCCCAGACUCCUACGGGAGGCAGCAGUGGGGAAUUUUGGACAAUGGGGGCGACCCUGAUCCAGCCAUGCCGCGUGCGGGAAGAAGGCCUUCGGGUUGUAAACCGCUUUUGUUCGGGGAGAAAUCCUCUGGGCUAAUACCCCGGGGGGAUGACGGUACCGGGAGAAUAAGCACCGGCUAACUACGUG
This 484-nucleotide ribosomal RNA is filed under the name uncultured bacterium. RNAcentral describes it as "partial 16S ribosomal RNA". It matches the Rfam family "Bacterial small subunit ribosomal RNA", at positions 28 to 507 of the family's 1533-position model. The record is from RNAcentral.